AAUGCCACGCUCUUUGCACGUUAAGAACCCUUGCAACAACUCUUUGAGGGGUCCGUAGGUGGCCUGUUGCAAGGCAAAAUGUCUGUCCCUAUCCAAUAUACCCUCAUUUUCCAGUGGCAGUCUAAAUUUGUCCGACCAUCAUCCCAGAUGGCCUCUAUUGUAUCAACCUACUUAUUGUAUUUAUUGUGAACUUGUUCUCGUCCUGAAUAUGCAUG
Molecule: long non-coding RNA, 215 nt
Filed under: Mytilus galloprovincialis (Mediterranean mussel)
Lineage: Eukaryota; Metazoa; Mollusca; Bivalvia; Mytilida; Mytilidae
Source: RNAcentral